This 449-nucleotide ribosomal RNA is filed under the name uncultured bacterium. RNAcentral's name for it is "partial 16S ribosomal RNA". It matches the Rfam family "Bacterial small subunit ribosomal RNA", at positions 29 to 523 of the family's 1533-position model. The record is from RNAcentral.
AACGAACGCUGGCGGCAGGCCUAACACAUGCAAGUCGAACGCUGUAGCAAUACAGAGUGGCAGACGGGUGAGUAACGCGUGGGAACGUGCCUUUCGGUUCGGAAUAACUCAGGGAAACUUGAGCUAAUACCGGAUACGCCCUUCGGGGGAAAGAUUUAUUGCCGAAAGAUCGGCCCGCGUCCGAUUAGCUAGUUGGUGAGGUAAUGGCUCACCAAGGCGACGAUCGGUAGCUGGUCUGAGAGGAUGAUCAGCCACACUGGGACUGAGACACGGCCCAGACUCCUACGGGAGGCAGCAGUGGGGAAUAUUGGACAAUGGGCGCAAGCCUGAUCCAGCCAUGCCGCGUGAGUGAUGAAGGCCCUAGGGUUGUAAAGCUCUUUCGCCAGGGACGAUAAUGACGGUACCUGGAUAAGAAGCCCCGGCUAACUUCGUGCCAGCCGCCGCCGUAA